Solanum stenotomum is the source of this 581-nucleotide long non-coding RNA. RefSeq lists it as uncharacterized. Lineage: Eukaryota; Viridiplantae; Streptophyta; Magnoliopsida; Solanales; Solanaceae. The transcript is spliced from 2 exons. The record is from RefSeq and is a predicted model, not a curated record.
CGCCGCACCACCGUUCUCCUCGCCCCUUCUCUAACCACCAAGAGGCAGCGACGCCCUCUAUCUUGCUCUUCCUCUCUCAGAUCUUCGACCAGAAUCAACAACCAACAACAGCCGGUGAGGACGACCGGACAGGCGAGGCCACCGGCAAGCAUCAGCUCCAUCCAGUGACACCAGACGCCUCUCUCCCCUCUUUUGCUCCUCCUAUUCGGGCAUCAACGAAGAGGACGAUGCCAACAACAACAACUAAAUAACAACAACAACACCAGUAGCAGACCUCAACGCCCAGUGAGACACACUCCAGCGAACGUCCAUUCUUCGGCAAAGAAUCAACCAGCAACAACAGUGUACAACGAGGACAUCAGCUCUGGUGCCCCCUCUUUUUUCUCAUUCCGGCGAAAUAGUAACUCUGACCAAUAUCUAUGGGUGCGAAGAAACAAGCUAAAAGCUUCAGAUCUUGAUCUAAAGGUUCAAGAUUUAGAAGAGUUGCCAGGGGAGGGAAACACUAGACGAGCUGAAUUUACUUAAUUUAUGUUUCGUAUAUUAUUGUUUUGUAAUAAUUUGUAUAAACUCCUAACUCUAAA